GGUCCCGUCCUGUCCCAGGAUCUUGAUUCUGUGCUGUAAGUGGUCAUGCCGUGGCCUCUGCUCUUGUCUUAAUUGGGGCUUUUCGUUGGAAGUGACAGAAACCCAAUGUGAAGGAGCCUCUGCCAGGGGCACAUGAGGUGAUAGGACGUGCACGAGUGCAUCUAGGGGACAGGCACAGUGUCACCCUCUGCUUCCUGGCCCUGCCUCUCUCUCGAGCUGGGCAUGUUCUCUGUUAUGGACAAGAUGUCUCCUCAGGGUGGGGAUGCAAGGCUGCCUUCCCACACCCCACGGCCCGGGAUGGGCCACUUCUCUGCCCAGCUCUGGUCCCCGAGCUUCCUGGGGAGGGUUCUGUGUGACUCCACCUGGGUUGGAAGCUCUGAUGAGGGUGACAUGGUCACACGGAGCAGUUGUGGCUGCGAGGGGCCAACCCUGAGCCUCAGAGGAGGGGUGACCGUGGUGCCUGGUCUGCUGUCCCUGUGGGGACCUGGUAGUGUCCCCACGGCUGUGUGCCACGUGCGCAGGAGUCUUGCCGGUCGGAAGGAAGGCCAGCAGCCACGGUGUGACUUCUGGAUUGAUGGGUUAGGGAAGGCCUGAGCUUCAUCUCCAGGGGAAGGAACCGCCCUGCCAUGGGCUUUGUGGGGUCCCACGACUCCAGGUUUUACAGUCUCUCCUCACAAGCCCUGGGGAUGACAGCUCGUGGACGGUCUAGAGUGGGGGCGUGAGACAGUCCGGCUCAGACGAGCAGAGCCGUCUACUGGGUGUCCCCCUGGCACACGGGGCCUCCUGAUGCCCUCGGAGCAGGAGAGGCCUGUGGCUAGCUGUCUCUAGGGCGGUUGGCAGGAAGGGCCAGGUCAGGGUCACGUGCUUAAUCUGGGGGUCGCAGCUCCCAGUUGGAACUGAUGGUAACGUAGCCUUGCCACCGGUGGUCUGUAUUGUAGGAAGCAGCAGCUGCUCCUGAAGUUCACUCCGUCCUCUGCCCCUCAGGAGCCAUCUUGGCCCGGGCCAGUCCCCUGCAUCUCAGUCGGCCCGGCUGCCGUAGCAGAAUCCCAGACUGCGCCCACAUGGCAGGCCUUGAUUUCUCACCGUUCUGGAGGCUGGAAGUCCAAGGCCCCACCUCCCGUGCCGUCCCACCAGGGACCAGGGCCUCGCCGUGUGGAUGUGGGGCAUCCGUUCACAGCACACGGGCAGCAGAAGUUAAGAGCUCCCCUUAGAAACUGGAAUCUGAGGUCAGUCUGUGGGUCAGGAACACCAGCCUCAGGCCUCUGCGCCUCCCACUUGCCUCCAGGCCCCCCGCCUUGCUGGGUGCGGGCUGCUGCUGGGCUCUGGGGGCUGGCUCGGGCUCUUUGGCGGAAGUGGGAGCAGCGGGCUUUGCUUUCAUCUGGCAGGCAGCACUCCCACCGCCGCUUGAUCGAGCCCUUGAUCCUGCUGAUGGAAAGGUGGACAAAAUCUGCAUUUUGACAAAUGUUCUCAUGGGGGUGUGUGUGUGCAUGAGUGUGCACACCCGGGCCCUGGAUAAGGAUGCUAGAAACUUCCCACCCUUUCCUCCUACCCAUCCGCCAGGCUGGGCCCGGAGGAGGGAAGGGCAGCCUGUUGGAG
This is a long non-coding RNA of Equus caballus (horse), 1596 nucleotides long. The record is from Ensembl. Lineage: Eukaryota; Metazoa; Chordata; Mammalia; Perissodactyla; Equidae.